This 89-nucleotide transfer RNA is filed under the name Candidatus Omnitrophota bacterium. RNAcentral describes it as "tRNA-Ser". It matches the Rfam family "tRNA". From Rfam's summary of the family: Transfer RNA (tRNA) molecules are approximately 80 nucleotides in length. Their secondary structure includes four short double-helical elements and three loops (D, anti-codon, and T loops). Lineage: Bacteria; Pseudomonadati; Candidatus Omnitrophota. The record is from RNAcentral.
GGAGGCGUGCCAGAGUGGUUGAAUGGGCCUGUCUUGAAAACAGGUAUCUCGAGUAAUCGGGAUCAGAGGUUCGAAUCCUCUCGCCUCCG